RNAcentral lists this ribosomal RNA (458 nucleotides) under Blochmannia endosymbiont of Camponotus textor. Its description in RNAcentral is "bacterial SSU rRNA". It matches the Rfam family "Bacterial small subunit ribosomal RNA", at positions 371 to 821 of the family's 1533-position model. Lineage: Bacteria; Pseudomonadati; Pseudomonadota; Gammaproteobacteria; Enterobacterales; Enterobacteriaceae. The record is from RNAcentral.
UUGGAUUAAACCCUGAUGCAGCUAUACCGUGUGUGUGAAGAAGGCCUUAGGGUUGUAAAGCACUUUCAAUGGGGAAGAAUUUAAUAUUGCUAAUAUCGAUAUUAAUUGACGUUACCUAUAUAAGAAGCACCGGCUAACUCCGUGCCAGCAGCCGCGGUAAUACGGAGGGUGCAAGCGUUAAUCGGAAUUACUGGGCGUAAAGAGUACGUAGGUGGUUUGUUAAGUCAGAUGUGAAAUCCCUGAGCUUAACUUAGGAACUGCAUUUGAAACUAAUAAACUAGAGUUUCGUAGAGGGGGGUAGAAUUCCAGGUGUAGCGGUGAAAUGCGUAGAGAUCUGGAGGAAUACCAGUGGCGAAGGCGACCCCCUGGACGGAAACUGACACUCAGGUACGAAAGCAUGGGGAGCAAACAGGAUUAGAUACCCUGGUAGUCCAUGCCGUAAACGAUGUCGAUUUGAA